This 448-nucleotide ribosomal RNA is filed under the name uncultured bacterium. RNAcentral's name for it is "bacterial SSU rRNA". It matches the Rfam family "Bacterial small subunit ribosomal RNA", at positions 330 to 795 of the family's 1533-position model. The record is from RNAcentral.
CCCAGACUCCUACGGGAGGCAGCAGUGGGGAAUAUUGCACAAUGGGGGAAACCCUGAUGCAGCGACGCCGCGUGAGUGAAGAAGUAUUUCGGUAUGUAAAGCUCUCUCAGCAGGGAAGAAAAUGACGGUACCUGAUUAAGAAGCCCCGGCUAACUACGUGCCAGCAGCCGCGGUAAUACGUAGGGGGCAAGCGUUAUCCGGAUUUACUGGGUGUAAAGGGAGCGUAGACGGUGAUGCAAGUCAGAAGUGAAAGCCCGUGGCUCAACUCCGGGACUGCUUUUGAAACUGUGUGACUGGAGUGCAGGAGAGGUAAGCGGAAUUCCUGGUGUAGCGGUGAAAUGCGUAGAUAUCAGGAGGAACACCAGUGGCGAAGGCGGCUUACUGGACGGUAACUGACGUUGAGGCUCGAAAGCGUGGGGAGCAAACAGGAUUAGAUACCCCAGUAUCC